GGACUGGUCCCAUAAUUUCACUAACAUGUUAGGCUAUACGGAUGCUCAGUUCACGGAACUCAUGCGCUUAUACCUCACCAUCCACAGCGACCCUGAGGGG
Octodon degus (degu) is the source of this 100-nucleotide long non-coding RNA. RefSeq lists it as uncharacterized. The record is from RefSeq and is a predicted model, not a curated record. The transcript has 3 exons. NCBI's taxonomy places the organism in Eukaryota, Metazoa, Chordata, Mammalia, Rodentia, Octodontidae.